RNAcentral lists this ribosomal RNA (1986 nucleotides) under Nostoc commune LSB51. Its description in RNAcentral is "bacterial SSU rRNA". The stretch from base 1 to 1482 matches the Rfam family "Bacterial small subunit ribosomal RNA". The record is from RNAcentral. Lineage: Bacteria; Bacillati; Cyanobacteriota; Cyanophyceae; Nostocales; Nostocaceae.
AGAGUUUGAUCCUGGCUCAGGAUGAACGCUGGCGGUAUGCUUAACACAUGCAAGUCGAACGGUGUCUUCGGACACAGUGGCGGACGGGUGAGUAACGCGUGAGAAUCUGGCUUCAGGUCUGGGACAACCACUGGAAACGGUGGCUAAUACCGGAUGUGCCGAGAGGUGAAAGGUUAACUGCCUGAAGAUGAGCUCGCGUCUGAUUAGCUAGUAGGUAGUGUAAUGGACUACCUAGGCGACGAUCAGUAGCUGGUCUGAGAGGACGAUCAGCCACACUGGGACUGAGACACGGCCCAGACUCCUACGGGAGGCAGCAGUGGGGAAUUUUCCGCAAUGGGCGAAAGCCUGACGGAGCAAUACCGCGUGAGGGAGGAAGGCUCUUGGGUCGUAAACCUCUUUUCUCAGGGAAGAACACAAUGACGGUACCUGAGGAAUAAGCAUCGGCUAACUCCGUGCCAGCAGCCGCGGUAAUACGGAGGAUGCAAGCGUUAUCCGGAAUGAUUGGGCGUAAAGCGUCCGCAGGUGGCUGUGUAAGUCUGCUGUUAAAGAAUCUAGCUCAACUAGAUACAAGCAGUGGAAACUACACGGCUAGAGUACGUUCGGGGCAGAGGGAAUUCCUGGUGUAGCGGUGAAAUGCGUAGAGAUCAGGAAGAACACCGGUGGCGAAGGCGCUCUGCUAGGCCGUAACUGACACUGAGGGACGAAAGCUAGGGGAGCGAAUGGGAUUAGAUACCCCAGUAGUCCUAGCCGUAAACGAUGGAUACUAGGCGUGGCUUGUAUCGACCCGAGCCGUGCCGUAGCUAACGCGUUAAGUAUCCCGCCUGGGGAGUACGCCGGCAACGGUGAAACUCAAAGGAAUUGACGGGGGCCCGCACAAGCGGUGGAGUAUGUGGUUUAAUUCGAUGCAACGCGAAGAACCUUACCAAGGCUUGACAUGUCGCGAAUCUUCUCGAAAGGGAAGAGUGCCUUCGGGAGCGCGAACACAGGUGGUGCAUGGCUGUCGUCAGCUCGUGUCGUGAGAUGUUGGGUUAAGUCCCGCAACGAGCGCAACCCUCGUUUUUAGUUGCCAGCAUUAAGUUGGGCACUCUAGAGAGACUGCCGGUGACAAACCGGAGGAAGGUGGGGAUGACGUCAAGUCAGCAUGCCCCUUACGCCUUGGGCUACACACGUACUACAAUGCUCCGGACAGAGGGCAGCAAGCAUGCGAAUGCAAGCAAAUCCCGUAAACCGGAGCUCGGUUCAGAUCGCAGGCUGCAACUCGCCUGCGUGAAGGAGGAAUCGCUAGUAAUUGCAGGUCAGCAUACUGCAGUGAAUUCGUUCCCGGGCCUUGUACACACCGCCCGUCACACCAUGGAAGCUGGUAGUGCCCGAAGUCAUUACUCCAGCCGUUCGCGGAGGAGGAUGCCUAAGGCAGGACUGGUGACUGGGGUGAAGUCGUAACAAGGUAGCCGUACCGGAAGGUGUGGCUGGAUCACCUCCUUAAUAGGGAGACCAAAUCAAUUAAAAAUGAAAGAUGAAAAAUUAAAAAUGAAUCGAUAUGUAAUUUUUCAUUUUUAAUUUCUAAUUUUUAAUUGAUUCAUCCCAAGUCGGUCGAGAUUGAUGCUAUUGGCUUUCAAACUUUUACUUGGUUCAAGUCGAAGAGUGUGGUAUAACCACCCAUGAACAAGUUCGGUUGUGCCCACUGUUGAGGGACGAAUGAGCUAGUACAUUAGUAUUAUUGGAAUUGAACCAAGUACAUCAAACUUCUUCAGCACCUUAUCUAGUAGAGCUAGAGAGAAUGCUGGAUGAGUAAUCCAGACAGAACCUUGAAAAUUACAUAGCAACUUGUCAGGUAGAAACAGUUAAGAGUGAGCAGUAAUUAGUUAUCAGUGAAAAACGUGAUAACUGGUGAUUGACAACUGAUAACUGAAUCACAGACACCAAUGUAGAAAUUGUGGUCAAGCUAAUAAGGGCUAACGGUGGAUACCUAGGCACACAGAGGCGAAG